UGAACUCCACUUUUUUAUAAGCAAGCUCCCACCCACUUUCUCAUCCACCCGGGGACCUGCCCCAAGCGGGCCCGCGCAGAGGAGCACGGGAAAACGAGUCCCGCGGUGACUCCUAUCCGGAGGCUCUGAGUUGCGAGAACUACAACUCCCACAAGGCGGCGCGCAGCGGGCCCUCCCCGGGAGGUAUUACCCCGCCCCCGGCAGUGGGCCUAGCCCCUCAGGACGGCAGGUUGGAAGUCACGAGAACUGGCGGCCAGCGUGUGUAGGAGUGAAUCCGCUAGUUUGCCAAGCUGAUUGGCAGAAAAAGCAAGCCUGCACCCUCCAAGCUGCACUAUUACACCUGGGAGACGAGCCUCAACCAGAAGUCCCUGAAGAAAUUCUACAAAAGGUUGUUGAUUAAUCAAAGCUGGAGUCAUUUUACAGAGGUAGCACUGUGCAUGUGCAAGACAGGAACCUGUGUCUCCAGGAUGACCUUGGAACCAAGAAUCUUCAGUCUACAGAACUCAAAGAAUAGAAAUGUUGCCACCAGAGCCCUUUACAAAGUGAGAAGUCCUUCAAUAAGGAAAAGCUGGCUUCCAGCAGCAUGAGUAGCUCAUAUGGACUAAUUCAAGACUAACCAAUCACCAUCCAGGCUCCCCAACUCUGGACCAGAUUGCUAGGAACCACCACUAGGUGUCCAAAGCAGAGGACAACCAAGUAGGUGGUCACCUACAUGGAAUGAUUUGAGAAGGUCUUUCUACUCCCAACACCACCCCUACUAGUACCUGCAGCAAUCUUUCCAUCACAAAGUCCUUGAAGGGAAGGACCAUUUCCUAUCCAUCAGUAAAGAGAGCUGGCUCUGCUUCUAACUGGCAGCGUGAUGGAGAACCAGUAACUUCCCCCUUCAGGACUCAGAUUCUUCCUUUGUAGGAUGAGGAGACUGAACAUGAUGACCUUUAAAAUCCUGCCUUGGGCUUCCCUGGUGGCGCAGUGGUUGAGAAUCUGCCUGCUAAUGCAGGGGACACGGGUUCGAGCCCUGGUCUGGGAAGAUCCCACAUGCCACGGAGCGGCUGGGCCCAGGAGCCACAACUACUGAGCCUGCGCGUCUGGAGCCUGUGCCCCGCAACGGGAGGGGCCGCGAUAGUGAAAGGCCCGCGCACCGCGAUGAAGAGCGGUCCCCGCACCGCGAUGAAGAGUGGCCCCCACUUGCCGCAACUAGAGAAAGCCCUCGCAUGAACCGAAGACCCAGCACAGCCAAAAAUAAAUAAAUAAAUAAAAUCCUGCC
Balaenoptera ricei (Rice's whale) is the source of this 1264-nucleotide long non-coding RNA. RefSeq lists it as uncharacterized. NCBI's taxonomy places the organism in Eukaryota, Metazoa, Chordata, Mammalia, Artiodactyla, Balaenopteridae. The transcript has 4 exons. The record is from RefSeq and is a predicted model, not a curated record.